Molecule: ribosomal RNA, 393 nt
Filed under: Cryptotermes riverinae
Lineage: Eukaryota; Metazoa; Arthropoda; Insecta; Blattodea; Kalotermitidae
Description: partial large subunit ribosomal RNA
Rfam family: Bacterial large subunit ribosomal RNA
Source: RNAcentral
CUCUUCUUGUUUAUUUAUCUGAAGUAUGACCUGCCCACUGAUGUUAUUGAAGGGCCGCGGUAUUUUGACCGUGCAAAGGUAGCAUAAUCAUUAGUUCUUUAAUUGUGAACUGGUAUGAAUGGUUUGACGAGAUACUAGCUGUCUUUGAUUGGGAUUUAUUGAAUUUGUUGUUUGGGUAAAAAUACCUAAAUUUUUUUAUGGGACGAGAAGACCCUAUAGAGUUUUAUAUGACGUUCUUCUUUUUGGUUUGUUAUAUCUUGUGGAGCACUCAUAUUUUGUUGGGGUGAUGGGAUGAUAAAUAUAACUCUUCCUUUAUUGUUUUCACUGAUUCGUGUUUUUGUGAUCCUUUAUUAUUGAUUAUAAGAUCGAAUUACCUUAGGGAUAACAGCGUAA